AGCUGUAAGUAAGCUUUGAUCCAGAGAUUUCCGAAUGGGGAAACCCAGCAUGAGUUAUGUCAUGUUAUCGAUAUGUGAAUACAUAGCAUAUCAGAAGGCACACCCGGAGAACUGAAACAUCUUAGUACCCGGAGGAAGAGAAAGAAAAUUCGAUUCCCUUAGUAGCGGCGAGCGAAACGGGAAGAGCCCAAACCAACAAGCUUGCUUGUUGGGGUUGUAGGACACUCUAUACGGAGUUACAAAGGACGACAUUAGACGAAUCAUCUGGAAAGAUGAAUCAAAGAAGGUAAUAAUCCUGUAGUCGAAAAUGUUGUCUCUCUUGAGUGGAUCCUGAGUACGACGGAGCACGUGAAAUUCCGUCGGAAUCUGGGAGGACCAUCUCCUAAGGCUAAAUACUCUCUAGUGACCGAUAGUGAACCAGUACCGUGAGGGAAAGGUGAAAAGCACCCCGGAAGGGGAGUGAAAUAGAACCUGAAACCGUGUGCUUACAAGUAGUCAGAGCCCGUUAAUGGGUGAUGGCGUGCCUUUUGUAGAAUGAACCGGCGAGUUACGAUUUGAUGCAAGGUUAAGCAGUAAAUGUGGAGCCGUAGCGAAAGCGAGUCUGAAUAGGGCGUUUAGUAUUUGGUCGUAGACCCGAAACCAGGUGAUCUACCCUUGGUCAGGUUGAAGUUCAGGUAACACUGAAUGGAGGACCGAACCGACUUACGUUGAAAAGUGAGCGGAUGAACUGAGGGUAGCGGAGAAAUUCCAAUCGAACCUGGAGAU
RNAcentral lists this ribosomal RNA (765 nucleotides) under Staphylococcus aureus. RNAcentral's name for it is "partial 23S ribosomal RNA". It matches the Rfam family "Bacterial large subunit ribosomal RNA", at positions 84 to 846 of the family's 2925-position model. The record is from RNAcentral. Lineage: Bacteria; Bacillati; Bacillota; Bacilli; Caryophanales; Staphylococcaceae.